Molecule: ribosomal RNA, 419 nt
Filed under: uncultured bacterium
Lineage: Bacteria
Description: bacterial SSU rRNA
Rfam family: Bacterial small subunit ribosomal RNA
Source: RNAcentral
AUUGAACGCUGGCGGAAUGCUUUACACAUGCAAGUCGAACGGCAGCACGGGGCAACCUGGUGGCGAGUGGCGAACGGGUGAGUAAUACAUCGGAACGUGCCCAAUCGUGGGGGAUAACGUAGCGAAAGUUACGCUAAUACCGCAUACGAUCUACGGAUGAAAGCGGGGGAUCGCAAGACCUCGCGCGAAUGGAGCGGCCGAUGUCAGAUUAGGUAGUUGGUGGGGUAAAGGCUCACCAAGCCGACGAUCUGUAGCUGGUCUGAGAGGACGACCAGCCACACUGGGACUGAGACACGGCCCAGACUCCUACGGGAGGCAGCAGUGGGGAAUUUUGGACAAUGGGCGCAAGCCUGAUCCAGCCAUUCCGCGUGCAGGAUGAAGGCCUGGUGUAAACUGCUUUGUUACGGAACGAAACGGUU